Erinaceus europaeus (western European hedgehog) is the source of this 209-nucleotide long non-coding RNA. RefSeq lists it as uncharacterized. The record is from RefSeq and is a predicted model, not a curated record. Lineage: Eukaryota; Metazoa; Chordata; Mammalia; Eulipotyphla; Erinaceidae. The transcript has 2 exons.
AGGUGGGGAGCCAGGAGUUCGAACCAGGAUUCUUAGGCCAGUCCUUGUGCAGGUUUUUUUCUUAAUGCCCAUUUUUGGUCCCUCCAAUACCUGAUUUUCUUAAGGGUGCUGAUCAUAUCAUCCAAUGCCUUCUGGUAAGCACUGAUAACCACUGUAGGGUGCAUCUGCUGCUCUAGGAAAUGCUCAGCCACAGAGAGCAUCUCUCCCGC